RNAcentral lists this ribosomal RNA (254 nucleotides) under uncultured bacterium. RNAcentral describes it as "partial 16S ribosomal RNA". It matches the Rfam family "Bacterial small subunit ribosomal RNA", at positions 524 to 776 of the family's 1533-position model. The record is from RNAcentral.
UACGGAGGAUCCAAGCGUUAUCCGGAAUCAUUGGGUUUAAAGGGUCCGUAGGCGGUUUGGUAAGUCAGUGGUGAAAGCCCAUCGCUCAAGCGGUGGAACGGCCAUUGAUACUGCCAGACUUGAAUUAUUAGGAAGUAACUAGAAUAUGUAGUGUAGCGGUGAAAUGCUUAGAGAUUACAUGGAAUACCAAUUGCGAAGGCAGGUUACUACUAAUGGAUUGACGCUGAUGGACGAAAGCGUGGGUAGCGAACAGG